Molecule: ribosomal RNA, 453 nt
Filed under: uncultured Prevotella sp.
Lineage: Bacteria; Pseudomonadati; Bacteroidota; Bacteroidia; Bacteroidales; Prevotellaceae
Description: partial 16S ribosomal RNA
Rfam family: Bacterial small subunit ribosomal RNA
Source: RNAcentral
CGGAAGGCAGCAGUGAGGAAUAUUGGUCAAUGGACGAGAGUCUGGACCAGCCAAGUAGCGUGCAGGAUGACGGCCCUAUGGGUUGUAAACUGCUUUUGUACGGGAAUAAAGUGACCUACGUGUAGGUUUUUGCAUGUACCGUAAGAAUAAGGACCGGCUAAUUCCGUGCCAGCAGCCGCGGUAAUACGGAAGGUCCGGGCGUUAUCCGGAUUUAUUGGGUUUAAAGGGAGCGUAGGCCGUGCUUUAAGCGUGUUGUGAAAUGUAGGCGCCCAACGUCUGCACUGCAGCGCGAACUGGAGCACUUGAGUACGCAGGAAGUAGGCGGAAUUCGUCGUGUAGCGGUGAAAUGCUUAGAUAUGACGAAGAACUCUGAUUGGGAAGCCAGCUUACUGUAGCGCCACUGACGCUGAUGCUCGAAAGCGUGGGUAUCGAACAGGAUUAGAUACCCUGGUA